Molecule: ribosomal RNA, 1547 nt
Filed under: Mycolicibacterium rufum
Lineage: Bacteria; Bacillati; Actinomycetota; Actinomycetes; Mycobacteriales; Mycobacteriaceae
Description: partial 23S ribosomal RNA
Rfam family: Bacterial large subunit ribosomal RNA
Source: RNAcentral
GAGCCUGCGAGUCAGGGACAUGUCGCGAGGUUAACCCGGGUGGGGUAGCCGUAGCGAAAGCGAGUCUGAAUAGGGCGUAUCCACACAACAGUGUGUGGUGUAGUGGUGUGUUCUGGACCCGAAGCGGAGUGAUCUACCCAUGGCCAGGGUGAAGCGCGGGUAAGACCGCGUGGAGGCCCGAACCCACUUAGGUUGAAGACUGAGGGGAUGAGUUGUGGGUAGGGGUGAAAGGCCAAUCAAACUCCGUGAUAGCUGGUUCUCCCCGAAAUGCAUUUAGGUGCAGCGUCGCAGUGUUCGUGUCGGAGGUAGAGCUACUGGAUGGCCGAUGGGCCUCACAAGGUUACUGACGUCAGCCAAACUCCGAAUGCCGACACGGUGUAAUGCGGCAGUGAGACGGCGGGGGAUAAGCUCCGUGCGUCGAGAGGGAAACAGCCCAGAUCGCCGGCUAAGGCCCCUAAGCGUGUGCUAAGUGGAAAAGGAUGUGCAGUCGCGAAGACAACCAGGAGGUUGGCUUAGAAGCAGCCACCCUUGAAAGAGUGCGUAAUAGCUCACUGGUCAAGUGAUUGUGCGCCGAUAAUGUAGCGGGGCUCAAGCACACCGCCGAAGCCGCGGCAGCGUAUUUAUACGCUGGGUAGGGGAGCGUCCUGCAUCCGGUGAAGCCGCCGAGUGAUCGAGUGGUGGAGGGUGUGGGAGUGAGAAUGCAGGCAUGAGUAGCGAUAAGGCAAGUGAGAACCUUGCCCGCCGAAAGACCAAGGGUUCCUGGGCCAGGCCAGUCCGCCCAGGGUGAGUCGGGACCUAAGGCGAGGCCGACAGGCGUAGUCGAUGGACAACGGGUUGAUAUUCCCGUACCCGUGUGUGAGCGUCCCUGAUGAAUCAAUCGUGCUAACCGCCCAAAAGGCGAAUCACCGAUCCCUUCGGGGUGAGGGUUUCGCCGGCUGCGCGGGACCCCGGUUGGUAGUAGUCAAGCGAUGGGGUGACGCAGGAAGGUAGCCGUACCAGUCAGUGGUAAUACUGGGGCAAGCCGGUAGGGAGACACCUAGGCAAAUCCGGGUGUCACAUAUCCUGAGAGGUGAUGCAUAGCCGAGUGAGGCGAAUUCGGUGAUCCUAUGCUGUCGAGAAAAGCCUCUAGCGAGCGCACACACGGCCCGUACCCCAAACCAACACAGGUGGUCAGGUAGAGAAUACCAAGGCGUACGAGUGAACUAUGGUUAAGGAACUCGGCAAAAUGCCCCCGUAACUUCGGGAGAAGGGGGACCCCUGUACCGUGUAAGCCCUUGCGGCCCAAGCGGGGUGGGGUGGCACAAACCAGUGAGAAGCGACUGUUUACUAAAAACACAGGUCCGUGCGAAGUCGCAAGACGAUGUAUACGGACUGACGCCUGCCCGGUGCUGGAAGGUUAAGAGGACCUGUUAACCCCUCGGGGUGAAGCGGAGAAUUUAAGCCCCAGUAAACGGCGGUGGUAACUAUAACCAUCCUAAGGUAGCGAAAUUCCUUGUCGGGUAAGUUCCGACCUGCACGAAUGGCGUAACGACUUCUCAACUGUCUCA